This 253-nucleotide ribosomal RNA is filed under the name uncultured bacterium. Its description in RNAcentral is "partial 16S ribosomal RNA". It matches the Rfam family "Bacterial small subunit ribosomal RNA", at positions 524 to 776 of the family's 1533-position model. The record is from RNAcentral.
UACGUAGGGGGCAAGCGUUGUCCGGAAUCAUUGGGCGUAAAGAGCGUGUAGGCGGCCCGAUAAGUCCGCUGUGAAAGUCCAGGGCUCAACCCUGGGAUGCCGGUGGAUACUGUCGGGCUCGAGUCCGGAAGAGGAGUGUGGAAUUCCUGGUGUAGCGGUGAAAUGCGCAGAUAUCAGGAGGAACACCAAUAGCGAAGGCAGCUCGCUGGGACGUUACUGACACUGAGGCGCGAAAGCGUGGGGAGCAAACAGG